RNAcentral lists this ribosomal RNA (1028 nucleotides) under uncultured Rhizophagus. RNAcentral describes it as "eukaryotic LSU rRNA". The stretch from base 1 to 241 matches the Rfam family "Eukaryotic small subunit ribosomal RNA", at positions 1591 to 1831 of the family's 1831-position model. Lineage: Eukaryota; Fungi; Glomeromycota; Glomeromycetes; Glomerales; Glomeraceae. The record is from RNAcentral.
UAUUGUUCUUCAACGAGGAAUCCCUAGUAAGCACAAGUCACUAGCUUGUGCUGAUUACGUCCCUGCCCUUUGUACACACCGCCCGUCGCUACUACCGAUUGAAUGGCUUAGUGAGGCCUUCGGAUCGGAGGUGAGGACUAGCAAUAGACCUUACUCUCGAGAAGUUGGUCAAACUUGGUCAUUUAGAGGAAGUAAAAGUCGUAACAAGGUUUCCGUAGGUGAACCUGCGGAAGGAUCAUUACCAAUCUUUAGUGAGCCUGGACUUGUCCAUGGUCUCGCGAAAUCUUGUAUUUAAAACCUACUCUUUAUAAUUAAAAAAAAUGUAUUGAUGAUAAAUUAAGAUCACUUUCAACAACGGAUCUCUUGGCUCUCGCAUCGAUGAAGAACGUAGCGAAGUGCGAUAAGUAAUGUGAAUUGCAGAAUUCCGUGAAUCAUCGAAUCUUUGAACGCAAACUGCACUCUCUGGCAACCCGGGGAGUAUGCCUGUUUGAGGGUCAGUAUUAAUAAAAAUCGGUGCGUUGCAAAUUUUUGUGACGUUUCCGGAGUUUGAGUUAUCUUAACUUCGGUUUUAAGAGGCUUAAAAUUGACCUUUUUUUGUGCAUUUUAGACGUACAUAAAUCUUUUUUAUUCGUCUAUCCUAAUGCCAAAAUCUAUUAGAUGCGACCAUAUCUUGUGGUUUCGUGUCUAUAAAUUUUUCAUAAUUUGACCUCAAAUCAGGUAGGGAUACCCGCUGAACUUAAGCAUAUCAAUAAGCGGAGGAAAAGAAAAUAACAAUGAUUCCCCUAGUAACUGCGAGUGAAGAGGGACAAGCUCAAAUUUUAAAUCUGUCGGGUUUUACCUGAUCGAGUUGUAAUUUGAAGAAGCGUUUUCUGCGUAUUUGGGUCAGCCAGUCCUAUUGAUGAGCAUCAUGGAGGUGAAUAAUCCCGUCGAUGAUCAUGUGCUCUACGAUACGCUUUCUAAGAAGUUCAAGUUGGUUGGGAAUGCCAGCUAAAUGGGAAGGUAAUUCUCCUAGCUCAAUACGGCAAGAG